RNAcentral lists this ribosomal RNA (318 nucleotides) under Triticum aestivum (bread wheat). Its description in RNAcentral is "partial small subunit ribosomal RNA". The record is from RNAcentral. Lineage: Eukaryota; Viridiplantae; Streptophyta; Magnoliopsida; Poales; Poaceae.
AUGGUCAGCAAGUAUGAUGGUUUUAAUGAUGAUCCUGCAUGUAUUUCGUGUGUAUCUCACAGGGGAUUUAAAAAAACUCGUGAAUUAACUUGGGUCACAGGUGUGGUUUUGGCUGUUUUGACUGCAUCAUUUGGUGUAACUGGUUAUUCUUUGACUUGGGAUCAAAUUGGCUAUUGGGCAGUCAAAAUUGUGACAGGUGUACUUGACGCCAUUCCGGUAAUAGGAUCGCCUUUAGUGGAGUUAUUACGCGGAAGUGUGCCUCCGCUCUGGGAAGACGCUGCGCACCCGGGAGCUGCUGGCAAGGGGCUGCCGGAAUAA